This 1759-nucleotide ribosomal RNA is filed under the name Salmonella enterica subsp. enterica serovar Typhi str. CT18. Its description in RNAcentral is "partial 23S ribosomal RNA". It matches the Rfam family "Bacterial large subunit ribosomal RNA", at positions 1 to 1691 of the family's 2925-position model. The record is from RNAcentral. Lineage: Bacteria; Pseudomonadati; Pseudomonadota; Gammaproteobacteria; Enterobacterales; Enterobacteriaceae.
GGGUUGUGAGGUUAAGCGACUAAGCGUACACGGUGGAUGCCCUGGCAGUCAGAGGCGAUGAAGGGCGUGCUAAUCUGCGAUAAGCGCCGGUAAGGUGAUAUGAACCGUUAUAACCGGCGAUACCCGAAUGGGGAAACCCAGUGUGAUUCGUCACACUAUCAUUAACUGAAUCCAUAGGUUAAUGAGGCGAACCGGGGGAACUGAAACAUCUAAGUACCCCGAGGAAAAGAAAUCAACCGAGAUUCCCCCAGUAGCGGCGAGCGAACGGGGAGGAGCCCAGAGCCUGAAUCAGCAUGUGUGUUAGUGGAAGCGUCUGGAAAGGCGCGCGAUACAGGGUGACAGCCCCGUACACAAAAGCGCAUAUGCUGUGAGCUCGAUGAGUAGGGCGGGACACGUGGUAUCCUGUCUGAAUAUGGGGGGACCAUCCUCCAAGGCUAAAUACUCCUGACUGACCGAUAGUGAACCAGUACCGUGAGGGAAAGGCGAAAAGAACCCCGGCGAGGGGAGUGAAAAAGAACCUGAAACCGUGUACGUACAAGCAGUGGGAGCCCCACCACUAAGCCAGUGGUGAACUCCACAUACGCAUCCUUUGCUGAGGAGACGGUUAACGGAGCGAAAGCGACGUUCAACCUCAAAAGAAGCAGAGGGGGCUUAGUGGUGGGGUGACUGCGUACCUUUUGUAUAAUGGGUCAGCGACUUAUAUUCUGUAGCAAGGUUAACUGUAUAGGGGAGCCGGAGGGAAACCGAGUCUUAACCGGGCGUUAAGUUGCAGGGUAUAGACCCGAAACCCGGUGAUCUAGCCAUGGGCAGGUUGAAGGUUGGGUAACACUAACUGGAGGACCGAACCGACUAAUGUUGAAAAAUUAGCGGAUGACCUGUGGCUGGGGGUGAAAGGCCAAUCAAACCGGGAGAUAGCUGGUUCUCCCCGAAAGCUAUUUAGGUAGCGCCUCGUGAAUUCAUCUCCGGGGGUAGAGCACUGUUUCGGCUAGGGGGCCAUCCCGGCUUACCAACCCGAUGCAAACUGCGAAUACCGGAGAAUGUUAUCACGGGAGACACACGGCGGGUGCUAAUGUCCGUCGUGAAGAGGGAAACAACCCAGACCGCCAGCUAAGGUCCCAAAGUCAUGGUUAAGUGGGAAACGAUGUGGGAAGGCCCAGACAGCCAGGAUGUUGGCUUAGAAGCAGCCAUCAUUUAAAGAAAGCGUAAUAGCUCACUGGUCGAGUCGGCCUGCGCGGAAGAUGUAACGGGGCUAAACCAUGCACCGAAGCUGCGGCAGCGACACCGUGUGUUGUUGGGUAGGGGAGCGUUCUGUAAGCCUGUGAAGGUGUGCUGUGAGGCAUGCUGGAGGUAUCAGAAGUGCGAAUGCUGACAUAAGUAACGAUAAAGCGGGUGAAAAGCCCGCUCGCCGGAAGACCAAGGGUUCCUGUCCAACGUUAAUCGGGGCAGGGUGAGUCGACCCCUAAGGCGAGGCCGAAAGGCGUAGUCGAUGGGAAACGGGUUAAUAUUCCCGUACUUGGUGUUACUGCGAAGGGGGGACGGAGAAGGCUAUGUUGGCCGGGCGACGGUUGUCCCGGUUUAAGCGUGUAGGUAUGUGUUCCAGGUAAAUCCGGUUCACUUUAACACUGAGGCGUGACGACGAGGCACUACGGUGCUGAAGCAACAAAUGCCCUGCUUCCAGGAAAAGCCUCUAAGCAUCAGGUAACAUCAAAUCGUACCCCAAACCGACACAGGUGGUCAGGUAGAGAAUACCAAGGCGCUU